AGGUGCCUUUUCAAUAAUAUAAAGAUGGAAAUGGGAUGAAGAUGUUCACUGAAAAUUAGGAAAACUCUUCCACGAGUUCACCAAUGGAAAUAACAUCAAGAAUUUUUCAUCUUCUUAGUAGGCAAAGGUAUGGAUAUUCAGUGUGUGAGCUUCAAGAGUAUCUAAGGGAGGUAAUAACGUGGUUGAGAAUAUACCAGAGACUACAAACUGUCUGUGCAUCCCAGAGGAACAGGAAGCUCGUGCAGGUGAAAAGACUGGAGGAGGAGGUAUGCUCACGAUACCCAGGAAGCCCACCUCCCACUUCUUUGGUCAUCAGAAGUAAGACAAAGGACAAUUAAAUGAGUGGUUAGUAGUUGUUUAGAGAAAGAGAAUUUUCACUUCAUAUGCUAGUCAUUGAUAAUAUUUGCCAUUGUGGUUGCUGUUAAGUAAGUUUCUUCCUGCAGGCCUGUGAGAAGGCAUAGUACAUGAAAGUGGCAGUGCUUUCAACCUGAUUAUUAUUAUACAGUAUGGACUUUUAUUAUAUAACAAGCAAUACUUACAUUUUGUUAUUCACUUAUUUUUUACUAUACACUUAUACAUAUGCAGACACAGUAAUAAACAUCUAAGUGGUGCAAAUAGGUACAAAACCAAAAAUAAAAGUCUAUGCCUUCUAACUUC
Long non-coding RNA from Piliocolobus tephrosceles (Ugandan red Colobus), 657 nucleotides. RefSeq lists it as uncharacterized. The transcript is spliced from 2 exons. Lineage: Eukaryota; Metazoa; Chordata; Mammalia; Primates; Cercopithecidae. The record is from RefSeq and is a predicted model, not a curated record.